Molecule: ribosomal RNA, 292 nt
Filed under: uncultured bacterium
Lineage: Bacteria
Description: partial 16S ribosomal RNA
Rfam family: Bacterial small subunit ribosomal RNA
Source: RNAcentral
GUGCCAGCAGCCGCGGUAAUACGAAGGUUGCUAGCGUUGUUCGGAAUCACUGGGCUUAAAGCGCAUGUAGGCGGCUCAUCAAGUGUCUUGUGAAAUCCCCCGGCUCAACCGGGGAAUUGCUGGGCAUACUGUUGAGCUUGAGGCAGGUAGGGAUGUGUGGAACUCUUGGUGGAGCGGUGGAAUGCGUAGAUAUCAAGAGGAACGCCGGAGGCGAAAGCGACGCAUUGGGCCUGUCCUGACGCUGAGAUGCGAAAGCCAGGGGAGCAAACGGGAUUAGAAACCCCUGUAGUCC